UUGGUCAUUUAGAGGAAGUAAAAGUCGUAACAAGGUCUCCGUAGGUGAACCUGCGGAGGGAUCAUUACAAGUGACCCCGGUCUUACCACCGGGAUGUUCAUAACCCUUUGUUGUCCGACUCUGUUGCCUCCGGGGCGACCCUGCCUUCGGGCGGGGGCUCCGGGUGGACACUUCAAACUCUUGCGUAACUUUGCAGUCUGAGUAAACUUAAUUAAUAAAUUAAAACUUUUAACAACGGAUCUCUUGGUUCUGGCAUCGAUGAAGAACGCAGCGAAAUGCGAUAAGUAAUGUGAAUUGCAGAAUUCAGUGAAUCAUCGAAUCUUGGAACGCACAUUGCGCCCCCUGGUAUUCCGGGGGGCAUGCGUGUUCGAGCGUCAUUUCACCACUCAAGCCUCGCUUGGUAUUGGGCAACGCGGUCCGCCGCGUGCCUCAAAUCGACCGGCUGGGUCUUCUGUCCCCUUAGCGUUGUGGAAACUACUCGCUAAAGGGUGUUCGGGAGGUACGCCGUAAAACACACCCCAUUUCUAAGGUGACCUCAGAUCAGGUAGU
RNAcentral lists this ribosomal RNA (549 nucleotides) under fungal sp. HK2. RNAcentral describes it as "eukaryotic LSU rRNA". The stretch from base 224 to 377 matches the Rfam family "5.8S ribosomal RNA". The record is from RNAcentral. Lineage: Eukaryota; Fungi.